UCUCUUCUGCAGCCACAGUACUUGCAGAGCCACAGAAAAUUUGUUCUAGGUGGUACAGCAACAAAAGAGCGGAGCGUCCAACAGCUCGAACCCUGAGGUUAAAGGAGAAUGUCGUAAGAGACCAGAGCAAGAAGAUGAUGAAGGCUGGAAGCUGACUUAGCAAAGCUGGCGACAGGCAAAGCCACGAAGCAAUUCAAUUGAUACAGUGAGCACCCAAAAGGCCCAGAAAAUGAUACUAAGCCCAUGGUGCAAUCAGACUACACUACUGCAGAUUCAUCCGACAUCAUGCUAUAAAAACCUCAGAGUUCACAGAGCUUAAUCUUUUCUUAUACACAUGAAAAAAAUUAAAAGAAAGCGGAGAUCAACAGACU
Long non-coding RNA from Leopardus geoffroyi (Geoffroy's cat), 371 nucleotides. RefSeq lists it as uncharacterized. Lineage: Eukaryota; Metazoa; Chordata; Mammalia; Carnivora; Felidae. The transcript is spliced from 3 exons. The record is from RefSeq and is a predicted model, not a curated record.